Molecule: long non-coding RNA, 852 nt
Filed under: Brassica napus (rape)
Lineage: Eukaryota; Viridiplantae; Streptophyta; Magnoliopsida; Brassicales; Brassicaceae
Description: long non-coding RNA (BNAP_LNC014518)
Source: RNAcentral
GGUUCACCCCAUUGAGUGAACCUUUAAAUUCAUUCUACCCUUUAAAAUCAAUCAAAGUAACACAUAGAUUAUUAAUUAAAAAAUAUUAAAUUAAAUAAAAAAUAGCUACAAAAAAUAAAAAUGAUAAUUUUAACGACGCUAACGCUUCCAGCUAAACCCUAAACCCUAAAUUUUAAAUUCUAAACCCUAUACCCUAAAUUAUAAACUAAAAUCCAAACUCCUAAACCCAAACCCUAUACCCUAAACUAUAAUCUUAGACCCUAAACCUAUACCCCAAACCCAAAAACUAGACUAUAAACCUAAACUCUAUACCCUAACCCAAGUCCUAGAUCCAAACUGUAAGCCUUAAACCCAAAUUAUAUACCCUAAACCCAAAACCUUAACCAUAAGUCCAAACGUUAAAUCCUAAACCCAAACCGUAAAUCCUAAACCAAAAAUCUAUACCCUAAACCUAAAUCCUAGACCUAAAACUCAAACGGUAAACCUUAAACCCAAACCCCAAACUUAGAUGCUAUAGGGUUUGGGUUAAUUUACGGUUUGGAUUUAGGGUCUAAGACUUGAGUUUAAGAUAUAGGGUUUAGGUUUAUAGUCUAUUUUUGGGUUUAAGGUAUAUAAUUUGGGUUUAGGGUCUAAGAUUAGGGUUUAGGGUAUAGGGUUUGGGUUUAGGGGUUUGGAUUUGGAUUUAGAAUUUAGGGUAUAGGGUUUAGAAAUUAAGAUUUAGGGUUUAGGGUUUUGAUGGAAGCGUUAGCGUCGUUAAAAUUAGCGUUUUUAUUUUUUAUAGCUAUUUUUUAUUUAAUUUAAUGUUUUUUAAUUAAUAAUUUAUGUGUCAUUUUGAUUGGUCAUAAAGGGUGG